GGGGCCGACAGGAUUCGACAGCAUGUGCAACGGAUGUGUAAGCAUGCCGGGCGUUGUGAGCAGUCCCGUAAAAAGCAACUCUCAAUCGCUUUAAAUGGCGAAACGAACUAUGCGCUUGCGGCCUGAUUCACCAUGUGAAUCCGCCUAAUCCCGUUACCAGGUAACGCGACAAGCUGUCCUGCCUGCCUGCUGCCGUCUAAGGCAGGGUUCAGGGCAUCGUAAAUGAUGGCUAAUCAUGCGGGUUUCCGUACUGCAUGGUGAAACUCUUAACGGAAUAAGGCUGAUGACGGUAAGCAUUCCGCCUCACAUCAGCCCGACAAUCAAGCGGAUGCUAAGCAUGUAGAAAGCGCAUCUUUUCCUUGUCUGGACGUGGGUUCAAAUCCCACCGGCUCCACUU
RNAcentral lists this transfer-messenger RNA (397 nucleotides) under Bacteroidia. RNAcentral describes it as "CAADHD01 sp900696575 Standard tmRNA". It matches the Rfam family "transfer-messenger RNA". From Rfam's summary of the family: Bacterial tmRNA, also known as 10Sa RNA or SsrA, is named for its dual tRNA and mRNA-like properties. The record is from RNAcentral. Lineage: Bacteria; Pseudomonadati; Bacteroidota. RNAcentral also lists the same sequence under 1 other name.